UGGGGAAUCUUGCGCAAUGGGCGAAAGCCUGACGCAGCGAUGCCGCGUGGGGGAUGAAGGCUCUCGGGUCGUAAACCCCUUUCAGCAGGGACGAAAAUGACGGUACCUGCAGAAGAAGCCCCGGCCAACUACGUGCCAGCAGCCGCGGUAACACGUAGGGGGCGAGCGUUGUCCGGAUUUAUUGGGCGUAAAGGGCUCGUAGGCUGUUCAGUAAGUCAGGUGUGAAAACCCAAGGCUCAACCUUGGGACGCCACUUGAUACUGCUGUGACUAGAGUCCGGUAGAGGAGAUUGGAAUUCCUGGUGUAGCGGUGAAAUGCGCAGAUAUCAGGAGGAACACCAACGGCGAAGGCAGAUCUCUGGGCCGGUACUGACGCUGAGGAGCGAAAGCGUGGGGAGCGAACAGGAUUAGAUACCCCCGUAGUCC
This 425-nucleotide ribosomal RNA is filed under the name uncultured prokaryote. Its description in RNAcentral is "bacterial SSU rRNA". It matches the Rfam family "Bacterial small subunit ribosomal RNA", at positions 355 to 796 of the family's 1533-position model. The record is from RNAcentral.